UCCCUGGUGGCUCAGACGGUAAAGCGUCUACAUGCAAUGUAGGAGACCUGGGUUCGAUCCCUAGGUCGGGAA
Molecule: transfer RNA, 72 nt
Filed under: Bos taurus (domestic cattle)
Lineage: Eukaryota; Metazoa; Chordata; Mammalia; Artiodactyla; Bovidae
Also listed under: 4 other names
Rfam family: tRNA
About the family: Transfer RNA (tRNA) molecules are approximately 80 nucleotides in length.
Source: Rfam by way of RNAcentral